UACAGAGGUCUCAACCGUUGUUCGGAUUCACUGGGCGUAAAGGGUGCGUAGGCGGCGGGGUAAGUCAGGUGUGAAAUCUCGGGGCUCAACCCCGAAACUGCACUUGAUACUGCCUCGCUUGAGUACUGGAGAGGAGACUGGAAUUUACGGUGCAGCAGUGAAAUGCGUAGAUAUCGUAAGGAAGACCAGUGGCGAAGGCGAAUCUCUGGACAGUUACUGACACUGAGGCACGAAGGCCAGGGGAGCAAACGGG
RNAcentral lists this ribosomal RNA (253 nucleotides) under uncultured bacterium. Its description in RNAcentral is "partial 16S ribosomal RNA". It matches the Rfam family "Bacterial small subunit ribosomal RNA", at positions 524 to 776 of the family's 1533-position model. The record is from RNAcentral.